RNAcentral lists this ribosomal RNA (252 nucleotides) under uncultured bacterium. RNAcentral describes it as "partial 16S ribosomal RNA". It matches the Rfam family "Bacterial small subunit ribosomal RNA", at positions 524 to 776 of the family's 1533-position model. The record is from RNAcentral.
UACGGGGGGGGCAAGCGUUGUUCGGAAUUACUGGGCGUAAAGGGCUCGUAGGCGGCCAACUAAGUCAGACGUGAAAUCCCUCAGCUUAACUGGGGAACUGCGUCUGAUACUGGAUGGCUUGGAUCCGGAAGAGGAUGCGGAAUUCCAGGUGUAGCGGUGAAAUGCGUAGAUAUCUGGAGGAACACCGGUGGCGAAGGCGGCAUCCUGGGCCGGUAUUGACGCUGAGGAGCGAAAGCCAGGGGAGCAAACGGG